ACCAAAAUAUCAGAAGAGAAACAUGCAAUCAGAUGGUAAACUUUAGAAUAAUGAUGGAAGUAGAAAGAAGAUUAUGGUAGAAAACCUGGGGAAAGGGUUUAUCCUGGCCGACAGCAAAAUCCAAAGACAGUAGCCAGGCUUCACCAGAUGGAACCAAUGUUGAGAGGCCGUAGCCACAAAGAUGAAAGAAAUCUGGAAGUGGAAUUUGCAUGAGCCUGAUGGAUUUGAUCCCAAUUCAUUUGGCAUCACAUGGAAGGUGAGUACAGAAGGGCCAGUACUUUUGCUUUUUAUCCUGAAAAUCGGUGGACAACUUGAAUUUUACUGCUGAAUCUAUGGGUGAUUAUGUCCUCAAAACAACUGGCUGACCUGUCUUUAGUUGCUUAAUCCACUAUCUGAAAUAUGUUCCAUCUUGUCCAAGAAUUGGUCACCGAACUAUUGUUAUUGCAAUAACCCUGUUUUAUACGCUAGUGCUUGUUUCUGUAAUAAGAAAAAGACUUUGUGUUGUA
Molecule: non-coding RNA, 506 nt
Organism: Theobroma cacao (cacao)
Lineage: Eukaryota; Viridiplantae; Streptophyta; Magnoliopsida; Malvales; Malvaceae
Source: RefSeq, a predicted model, not a curated record